GAAAAUUUUUAAAUAGCUGCAGUAUUUUAACUGUACAAAGGUAGCAUAAUCAAUAGUUUUUUAAUUAAAAGCUGGAAUGAAUGAUUUGAUAAAAAAUAAAUUAUCUUAAUUUUAUUGGGGUAAAAUUUUUUUUUUAAUAAAAAAGUUAAAUUGAUUUUAAAAGACGAGAAGACCCUAUAGAUUUUUAUAAUUUUUAUAAAUAAUUAAAAAAUUUAUUUUAGUAAAUUUUUAUUUAAAAAAUUAUUUGAUUGGGGUGAUUUUUAAAUUAAAUUAACUUUAAUUAUUUUUAAACAAUAAUUUUUGACUAUUUGAUCUUAUUUUUUGAUUAAUAGAAUAAAUUACCUUAGGGAUAACNAGCGUAAUUUUUUUGGAUAGAUCAUAUUGAUAAAAAAGUUUGCGACCUCGAUGUUGAAUUAAGAUAAAAUUU
This 427-nucleotide ribosomal RNA is filed under the name Deleboea sp. BFS-2018. RNAcentral describes it as "partial 16S large subunit ribosomal RNA". Lineage: Eukaryota; Metazoa; Arthropoda; Insecta; Hymenoptera; Ichneumonidae. The record is from RNAcentral.